Long non-coding RNA from Rhineura floridana, 837 nucleotides. RefSeq lists it as uncharacterized. The record is from RefSeq and is a predicted model, not a curated record. Lineage: Eukaryota; Metazoa; Chordata; Lepidosauria; Squamata; Rhineuridae. The transcript is spliced from 5 exons.
CCACAUUGAGGAGACGCAUGCGCAGUUAAUGUCGGCACCUCGAGAGAGCGUAACUUGCCGCAGUUUGUUUGUUUAUUUAUUUAUUGCGUUUGUAUACAGCCGAAGCUCUCUGCAGUUGUUCUGCAGCGCCUCCACAAGACCACGAGAAGAAUUGCAUGGUAUUGCAAAAAGAAGGCUCAAGGAAAGUGGUAAUACUGGGUUUAAAAAAGACUUUGGAUUGCUUUCAUUGGUUUCCUGAAUUCUGAAGAAUUUUGAGAAGGGAGGAAGUGAAAAUUUCACACCAGGAUAUACAAGGAUCUGAUGAGCUGGAGGUUGGACACGUCACUGCAAGCAUCCUGUCCAGCAACAUCUGGAGGGACAAAGGUUCACCAACAUCUGGAAGGACAAAGGUUUCCCACACCUGAUUGGCCCAGCAAACAUAUUUCACAGGUCUUCUUGAGCUGAGCCUUUAAGUGGCUUGAAAGUGGAGAUCUUGCUGCACUGCUCGUCAUCUUCUGGAUACAAGUGACGACUGUUGGAAACUGAAUGCUGGAUCCAACAAGACCAUUCAGUUAGAAGAUCUUCUUUCUCCUGUGCGCUGUACCUGUGGGACCAUAACAACCAUGCACUGGCUUUUCAUGUGAACCGGUUCUUUGGUGCACAUAAUUCCAGUCAUAAAUAUUUUUGCAGUCCCUCAGAUUGCCCCCUCCACCCCCAAACUGGGGGCAUCAUGUCACAGGAAAUGAGCGAAAAGAGAGCAAACUCUCCAGGCACCAAGGGAAGAAUAAUGUAAUGCUUCCCUCAGAUCAAUGUGGAUUUUGGUUUGCGAGUUAUUAGGCCAGGAUCAUAAACAACCUC